RNAcentral lists this transfer RNA (69 nucleotides) under Bos taurus (domestic cattle). It matches the Rfam family "tRNA". Rfam says of the family: Transfer RNA (tRNA) molecules are approximately 80 nucleotides in length. Lineage: Eukaryota; Metazoa; Chordata; Mammalia; Artiodactyla; Bovidae. RNAcentral also lists the same sequence under 1 other name. The record is from Rfam by way of RNAcentral.
CCUGGUGGCUCUGAUGGUAAAGUGUCUGCCUGCAAUGCAGGAAACCCAGGUUCGAUCCCUGUGUCAGGA